GGGCUCACACAAGCGGUGGAGCAUGUGGCUUAAUUCGAGGCUACGCGAAGAACCUUAUCCUGGGCUUGACAUGUCCGCAAGGGCCAAGACGUAGGGACCGGAAACGGCACCCGACAGGUACCCAAUCCUGAGCUUGGCACAGGUGCUGCAUGGCUGUCGUCAGCUCGUGUCGUGAGAUGUCGGGUUAAGUCCCAUAACGAGCGAAACCCCUGUCUCCAGUUGCUAACCCGCAAGGGAGGACUCUGGAGAGACUGCCGGUGUCAAACCGGAGGAAGGUGGGGAUGACGUCAAGUCCUCAUGGCCUUUAUGCCCAGGGCUGCACACGUGCUACAAUGGCGCGCACAAAGGGAAGCAAACGCGCGAGCGGGAGCAAAACCCAAAAAACGCGCCCCAGUUCAGAUCGUAGGCUGCAACUCGCCUGCGUGAAGUUGGAAUCGCUAGUAAUCGCGGGUCAGCAACACCGCGGUGAAUGUGUUCCUGAGCCUU
This 486-nucleotide ribosomal RNA is filed under the name uncultured bacterium. RNAcentral describes it as "bacterial SSU rRNA". It matches the Rfam family "Bacterial small subunit ribosomal RNA", at positions 917 to 1382 of the family's 1533-position model. The record is from RNAcentral.